RNAcentral lists this ribosomal RNA (328 nucleotides) under uncultured Chlorobiota bacterium. RNAcentral describes it as "bacterial SSU rRNA". It matches the Rfam family "Bacterial small subunit ribosomal RNA", at positions 28 to 351 of the family's 1533-position model. Lineage: Bacteria; Pseudomonadati; Chlorobiota. The record is from RNAcentral.
GACGAACGCUGGCGGCGUGCUUAACACAUGCAAGUCAAGGAGAUAGUUCUCUUCGGAGAAUGUGUAAACUGGCGCACGGGUGAGUAAUAUAUAAGUAAUCUACCUUAUGGACAGGGAUAACGUCGAGAAAUCGGCGCUAAUACCGGAUAAUGCAGCGGCACCGCAUGGUGAUGUUGUUAAAGUCAUUUAUGGCACCAUAAGAUGAGCUUGUAGCUGAUUAGCUAGUUGGUAGGGUAACUGCCUACCAAGGCUACGAUCAGUAGCUGGUCUGAGAGGAUGAUCAGCCACACUGGAACUGAGAUACGGUCCAGACUCCUACGGGAGGCAG